RNAcentral lists this ribosomal RNA (200 nucleotides) under uncultured Staphylococcus sp. RNAcentral describes it as "partial 16S ribosomal RNA". It matches the Rfam family "Bacterial small subunit ribosomal RNA", at positions 163 to 354 of the family's 1533-position model. The record is from RNAcentral. Lineage: Bacteria; Bacillati; Bacillota; Bacilli; Caryophanales; Staphylococcaceae.
CUAAUACCGGAUAAUUAUUUGAACCGCAUGGUUACAAAGUAGAAAGACGGUCUUGCUGUCACUUAUAGAUGGAUCCGCGCUGCAUUAGCUAGUUGGUAAGGUAACGGCUUACCAAGGCAACGAUGCAUAGCCGACCUGAGAGGGUGAUCGGCCACACUGGAACUGAGACACGGUCCAGACUCCUACGGGAGGCAGCAGGC